GCAUGCAUCUUUUACCCCAUGUCGGACAGUAAAGUAAUCGGGAGCCGUUCCUUGCCGCCGGCAAAUCGCCGGCAGGCGGGUGGUCGUCCUCGUCGAGCCUUCCUCCUCCCGGCUGCUCCCCGGUUGGUGGCAAAGCCUCGCUCGCACCGGCAUAGAAGUAGCCCGCUUGACCUUCGAUCCGGCUGCUUCCCCCUCCACGCAUCAUCCAGGCUUCCUUCCACUGAAGCACGCCGCCUCGAAUUCCUCUCUCGUACUCGACCUCCACUUCACGGGAUCGAGCGGACAGGCCCGACGAUUCACUCUUGUUUUGCUACUACAGAGACUAUGUUUCUAGGGGAAAAUACAAGCCUCCAAAACGCGGUAUGGACAUCAUUGUUGAUCCUUGUUUUAAUUACAUGUUUGAGCCAUCUCUCAGUUCAUUCUUAUCUCCACUAAAUAUUAUGUUGCUUAUAUAUAAACUAGGAACGGUUAGCUAGAAUAAGGAAGCAGCUCCUAAGACCUGAAUUGUACCCAUCAUCAUACGACACCGCCUGGGUGGCUAUGGUGCCCUUGUCAUGUUCCCCGCAUAUUCCAUGCUUCCCUCAAUGUGUUGAAUGGAUACUACAAAACCAGCAAAGAAAUGGAUCUUGGGGUCAGAGUCAAAUAGACUCCUCAGUUGACAAGGACAUCCUCUCAUCAACAUUGGCUUGUGUACUUGCACUUAAGAGAUGGAAUGUUGGUAGUAAGCAUAUCCAGAGAGGUAUGAACAAAGACGAUUUAGUUGUUGUCGUUUCAGGUUUUGAAUUGAUGUGAUGAAAAUGUUUCUAACAGGUUUGUGUUUUAUUGGAAAGUAUUUCUCCAUUGUAAUGGAUGAGCAUACUACUGCUCCUAUAGGCUUCAAUGUCAUUUUUGCUGGUAUGCUUAGCCUUGCCAUUGGGAUGGGUUUGGAAUUUCCAGUUCCACAAACUCAUGUUCAUGGGAUUCUUCACCUCCGGGAGAAGGAACUAAAAAGGUUUGGGAUUGACAAUUUUGGCAUGAAAAUUGUGUUAUCUUUCACUUUUUUGGAUGUGUUUGUACUUUAACAACACCUGGUUCUUGAAUUUUGUUUCCAUUGACUACUUAUGUUAACGGAAUUUUACUAUCUGGUUUUUCUUACUUUCCCUUUUGAAAGAUGAAACUCAUUAAGAAGUUUAUAUUUUUUUUUCAAAGUUUUGCUAAGAACCACUCUUUGAAAGGGAUAACAUCGUUAGAUGUGAUUCAUAUUCGUCUUGUCCAUAGUGAUGAAUCAUCAAUCAGAAUUUGAGUAUGCCAUGUAUAUAUUGACAUAAUUCAGAGUUGCUGAGGAUAAAUCUUAUGGAAAAGAAGCGUAUAUGGCUUAUAUUUGUGAAGGGCUAGGAAACAUGUUGGACUGGUAUAAAGUUAUGAAGUUCCAGAGGAAGAACGGGUCGUUGUUCAACUCUCCUUCAGCAACUGCUGCUGCUUUAAUCCACAAUUAUGAUGACAAUGCCCUCAAGUACCUAAAUUCUCUUGUGACUAAAUUUGGUAGUUCAGUACCAACUGUAUAUCCAAUAAAUAUAUAUUGUCAGCUUUCAAUGGUGGAUUCUCUUGAAAAGGUCGGGAUAUCUCAGCAUUUUCUUAAUGAGAUAAAGGGCAUCCUUGAUGUAACAUACAGGUAAUUGAUGACAAAGGAUAUUUAUACUUCAUAGAUUGUAAACUUAACAUAUCCCCUUUUUAGUUUGUGGUUAUAGAGAGAUGAGGAAAUCAUGUUGGAUGUAGAAACAUGCGCACUAUCGUUUCGUCUUUUACGGAUGAACGGAUAUGGUGUUUCCUCUGGUACUUCCUUGGACAGAAA
This is a non-coding RNA of Triticum urartu, 1831 nucleotides long. The record is from RefSeq and is a predicted model, not a curated record. Lineage: Eukaryota; Viridiplantae; Streptophyta; Magnoliopsida; Poales; Poaceae.